AGUCGCGUGGUCUAAUGGUUAUGAUAUUUCGUUUACAGUGAGUGUCGCUCAACUUGAGCCCGCUCCGAAAGGGUUCCCGGUUCGAUCCCGGGCGUGACUA
Aspergillus avenaceus is the source of this 100-nucleotide non-coding RNA. NCBI's taxonomy places the organism in Eukaryota, Fungi, Ascomycota, Eurotiomycetes, Eurotiales, Aspergillaceae. The record is from the annotation of a GenBank genome assembly.